CAACCUGAGAGUUUGAUCCUGGCUCAGAACGAACGCUGGCGGCAGGCUUAACACAUGCAAGUCGAACGCCCCGCAAGGGGAGUGGCAGACGGGUGAGUAACACGUGGGAACGUGCCCAAAGGUACGGAACAACUCCGGGAAACUGGAGCUAAUACCGUAUGUGCCCGAAAGGGGAAAGAUUUAUCGCCUUUGGAUCUGCCCGCGUCUGAUUAGCUAGUUGGUGGGGUAAUGGCCCACCAAGGCGACGAUCAGUAGCUGGUCUGAGAGGAUGAUCAGCCACACUGGGACUGAGACACGGCCCAGACUCCUACGGGAGGCAGCAGUGGGGAAUAUUGGACAAUGGGCGCAAGCCUGAUCCAGCCAUGCCGCGUGAGUGAUGAAGGCCUUAGGGUUGUAAAGCU
This 401-nucleotide ribosomal RNA is filed under the name Hyphomicrobiales bacterium. Its description in RNAcentral is "bacterial SSU rRNA". It matches the Rfam family "Bacterial small subunit ribosomal RNA", at positions 1 to 432 of the family's 1533-position model. Lineage: Bacteria; Pseudomonadati; Pseudomonadota; Alphaproteobacteria; Hyphomicrobiales. The record is from RNAcentral.